UCUUUGGUAGUUCAGUGGUAGAAUUCUCACCACCCAUUCAGGAGACCAGGGUUCGAUUCCCAGCCAAUGUA
RNAcentral lists this transfer RNA (71 nucleotides) under Loxodonta africana (African savanna elephant). It matches the Rfam family "tRNA". From Rfam's summary of the family: Transfer RNA (tRNA) molecules are approximately 80 nucleotides in length. Their secondary structure includes four short double-helical elements and three loops (D, anti-codon, and T loops). Lineage: Eukaryota; Metazoa; Chordata; Mammalia; Proboscidea; Elephantidae. The record is from Rfam by way of RNAcentral.